RNAcentral lists this ribosomal RNA (252 nucleotides) under uncultured bacterium. RNAcentral describes it as "partial 16S ribosomal RNA". It matches the Rfam family "Bacterial small subunit ribosomal RNA", at positions 525 to 776 of the family's 1533-position model. The record is from RNAcentral.
ACGGAGGGUGCGAGCGUUAAUCGGAAUUACUGGGCGUAAAGCGCGCGUAGGUGGUCUGUUAAGUCGGAUGUGAAAGCCCCGGGCUCAACCUGGGAACUGCAUUCGAUACUGGCAGACUAGAGUGCGAGAGAGGGAGGUAGAAUUCCAUGUGUAGCGGUGAAAUGCGUAGAUAUGUGGAGGAAUACCAGUGGCGAAGGCGGCCUCCUGGCUCGACACUGACACUGAGGUGCGAAAGCGUGGGGAGCAAACAGG